RNAcentral lists this ribosomal RNA (254 nucleotides) under uncultured bacterium. Its description in RNAcentral is "partial 16S ribosomal RNA". It matches the Rfam family "Bacterial small subunit ribosomal RNA", at positions 524 to 776 of the family's 1533-position model. The record is from RNAcentral.
UACGUAGGGGCCUAGCGUUGUCCGGAUUUAUUGGGCGUAAAGAGCUCGUAGGCGGUUCGGCAAGUCGGAUGUGAAAUCUCCACGCUUAACGUGGAGGAGCCAUUCGAAACUGCCGUGACUCGAGUCCGGUAGGGGAGUGUGGAAUUCCUGGUGUAGCGGUGAAAUGCGCAGAUAUCAGGAGGAACACCGAUGGCGAAGGCAGGUCUCUGGGCCACUACUGACGCUGAGAAGCGAAAGCAUGGGGAGCGAACAGG